Molecule: ribosomal RNA, 253 nt
Filed under: uncultured bacterium
Lineage: Bacteria
Description: partial 16S ribosomal RNA
Rfam family: Bacterial small subunit ribosomal RNA
Source: RNAcentral
UACGUAGGGUGCAAGCGUUAAUCGGAAUUACUGGGCGUAAAGCGUGCGCAGGCGGCUUUGCAAGACAGAUGUGAAAUCCCUGGGCUCAACCCAGGAACUGCGUCCGAUACUGGAAGGCUUGAAUCCGGGAGAGGGAUGCGGAAUUCCAGGUGUAGCGGUGAAAUGCGUAGAUAUCUGGAGGAACACCGGUGGCGAAGGCGGCAUCCUGGACCGGCAUUGACGCUGAGGCGCGAAAGCCAGGGGAGCAAACGGG